Molecule: ribosomal RNA, 884 nt
Filed under: Aeromonas sp.
Lineage: Bacteria; Pseudomonadati; Pseudomonadota; Gammaproteobacteria; Aeromonadales; Aeromonadaceae
Description: bacterial SSU rRNA
Rfam family: Bacterial small subunit ribosomal RNA
Source: RNAcentral
GCAAGUUCGAGCGGCAGCGGNCAAAGAUAGCUUGCUACUUUUGCCGGCGUAGCGGCGGACGGGNUGAGAUAAUGCCUGGGGAUCUGCCCAGUUCGAGGGGGAUAACANAUUGGAAACGACUGCUAAUACCGCAUACGCCCUACGGGGGAAAGGAGGGGACCUUCGGGCCUUUCGCGAUUGGAUGAACCCAGGUGNGAUUAGCUAGUUGGUGGGGUAAUGGCUCACCAAGGCGACGAUCCCUAGCUGGUCUGAGAGGAUGAUCAGCCACACUGNAACUGAGACACGGUCCAGACUCCUACGGGAGGCAGCAGUGGGGAAUAUUGCACAAUGGGGGAAACCCUGAUGCAGCCAUGCCGCGUGUGUGAAGAAGGCCUUCGGGUUGUAAAGCACUUUCAGCGAGGAGGAAAGGUUGGCGCCUAAUACGUGUCAACUGUGACGUUACUCGCAGAAGAAGCACCGGCUAACUCCGUGCCAGCAGCCGCGGUAAUACGGAGGGUGCAAGCGUUAAUCGGAAUUACUGGGCGUAAAGCGCACGCAGGCGGUUGGAUAAGUUAGAUGUGAAAGCCCCGGGCUCAACCUGGGAAUUGCAUUUAAAACUGUCCAGCUAGAGUCUUGUAGAGGGGGGUAGAAUUCCAGGUGUAGCGGUGAAAUGCGUAGAGAUCUGGAGGAAUACCGGUGGCGAAGGCGGCCCCCUGGACAAAGACUGACGCUCAGGUGCGAAAGCGUGGGGAGCAAACAGGAUUANAUACCCUGGUAGUCCACGCCGUAAACGAUGUCGAUUUGNAGCUGUGUCCUUGANACGUGGCUUCGGAACUAACGCGUUAAUCGACCGCNUGGGGAGUACGGCCGCAAGUUAAACUCAAUGAAUUGACGGGGCCCNCACA